RNAcentral lists this long non-coding RNA (295 nucleotides) under Mytilus galloprovincialis (Mediterranean mussel). The record is from RNAcentral. Lineage: Eukaryota; Metazoa; Mollusca; Bivalvia; Mytilida; Mytilidae.
UUUUUAGCUCACCUGGCCCAAAGGGCCAAGUGAGCUUUUCUCAGCACUUGGCGUCCGGCGUCCGGCGUCCGUCGUCUGUCGUCCGUCGUCCGUCAUCGUCUGGCGUCGUUAACUUUUACAAAAAUCUUCUCCUCUGAAACUACUGGGCCAAAUUUAACCAAACUUGGCCACAAUCAUCAUUGGGGUAUCUAGUUUAAAAAAUGUGUCUGGUGACCCGGUCAACCAACCAAGAUGGCCGCCAUGGCUAAAAAUAGAACAUAGGGGUAAAAUGCAGUUUUUGGCUUAUAACUCAAAA